UCAAACAUUACGCUGGUUCAGCAAAUGACUAUAAAUGUUUAGUGUGUAAUUGCAUAUAUACACCCAAGGACUAUAAAUAUCAUAACUCAGUUUAAUUAUAUAUGAAGGGUGUAUUCAUAACAACAUUUUUCAGUUAAAAAGUCGAAAGAAAAAACACAUUUUCUGCAUAUACACAACUUGUUAUUUACAUAUCCAUAUACACCUUUUAUGCAAGAAAAAAAUACACAAAUCACACUCUUUAAACUCAGAAAACUUAAAAAAAACCCUGUCAAAAAAGAAACUCAGAAAACUCAAACAACAUAAAACACAAGAAUCUUAAAUGAAAUUACAUAUCUGCAAAGAACAAAUAGAAGAUAGGCAACACCAAUCAUCCCUAUCACCACCAACAACAACAAAACUCUUCACCUUCAAAUUUCCAUUCUCAGCAACAACUUGUGGUCCAUUUUGAUGGAAGGUCAGCUUCUGAAAUUCUCAUUCUCAUUUUUUAAACUCUUUAUCUUCUUUUUCAUCCAAUUCUUCAUCUUCAUCUACUUCUAAAACUACUCUUCAUCUUAUUGAGGCUUCUCCCGCAAUCGCCACCAGAUAUGAACCUCAAGUACUUGAAUACACUGUCGAACCAACAAUAAUCUCCAGAUUCAACAUUUCUCUAAAAAAUCAUUAAAAACUCAAAUCUCUAAAAAAAGAUAUAUGAACUCCAAAAUAGAGAUUCAUUUCACUAAAAGAAAAACAUAUAUGAAAUUUUUGUAGUUACCUAUGAAUUGUGGUGUUUUAGUGAUGGUGACUUAGUAAGAAUAAAGAAGGAACAUAUUUUCUGGGUUAAUGAUGUUUUGUGGUGUUAAGAGAAAAAUAUAUUUCAGGGUGAUAACUUUUUGUUGGUGGUGGUGAACAAAAAUGCCAAAAAAAAAUUGAAAAAUAAAAAAUGAAUGAAAUUAUGUUGUUUUAAUGCUUUUAAUUAUUAGGUAACUUAAAGAUUGUAUUGUUAAAAUAAGUUUAUAAAUAAUUGCAAAAACAAAAACAAUAUGUCAUGUCAAUAUUUUCA
RNAcentral lists this long non-coding RNA (1039 nucleotides) under Lathyrus oleraceus (garden pea). Its description in RNAcentral is "Pisum sativum (pea) long non-coding RNA (PSAT_LNC029059)". The record is from RNAcentral. Lineage: Eukaryota; Viridiplantae; Streptophyta; Magnoliopsida; Fabales; Fabaceae.